AAAACAGGUAAAGAGCACGUACCUGCAUAGGAUGCCAAAAAAGUUAACAGAAAGUUCAGUAAGUAGAUUUUAAUUCAAGAUAAAUUUGAUUAACCUUUCUUAAGCUUUGAGUAAUAUUGAAUUCCAUAUUCUGUUUUUCUAUGGUUUAACUGCAGAAUAACUCAUAAUCUAAUAGACUAAACUGUAAUGAAAUUGUCCUUUUCGACAAGGACAAUCAACUGAAAGAUAUUAAGUAUUAGAGGAAAGUAUGCAAAAAGUAUCAUGUAGUUUCCUGUGGUUUGGAUUUUGACAAACCAAUAUUAUGGGAUUAAGUCCUUUAGCAAAGAAGGUCCAAACACCCUAACGCCAUUAAUGGCUAUUUCUGCUGACAUGGAACUAUUUUUCAAUUAAAAAUCAACUUUCUAAUUAAAUUGUGGGACUUACUUGCAAACAAAAAUUUUACAAAUAAUUGUGGGACCCUUGUGUCAUUAUUUCAUUAAAUU
RNAcentral lists this unclassified non-coding RNA (482 nucleotides) under Hevea brasiliensis (rubber tree). Lineage: Eukaryota; Viridiplantae; Streptophyta; Magnoliopsida; Malpighiales; Euphorbiaceae. The record is from RNAcentral.